This 1254-nucleotide ribosomal RNA is filed under the name marine metagenome. RNAcentral describes it as "bacterial LSU rRNA". It matches the Rfam family "Bacterial large subunit ribosomal RNA", at positions 1111 to 2479 of the family's 2925-position model. The record is from RNAcentral.
AGCAGCCAUCCUUUAAAGAAAGCGUAACAGCUCACUGGUCUAAUUAAGAGAUCCUGCACCGAAAAUGUAACGGGGCUCAAAUCAUUUACCGAAGCUUUGACAAUUACUUUGUAAUUGGGUAGCGGAGCGUUCUGUAAGCCUGUAAAGGUGAUGCGUAAGCAUUGCUGGAGGUAUCAGAAGUGCGAAUGCUGACAUGAGUAACGAUAAGAAAUGUGAAAGACAUUUCCGCCGAAAUCCUAAGGUUUCCUGCGUAAAGCUAAUCUGCGCAGGGUUAGUCGGCCCCUAAGGCGAGGGCGAAAGCCGUAGUCGAUGGGAAGCAGGUUAAUAUUCCUGCACCAGCUGGUAGUGACGGAUGAAGUAAAUUGUAAGUUCUUACUGGAUUGAGCUUGCAGUGAAUUUGUCCCUGGAAAUAGCUCCAGCAUUAGACCGUACCAAAACCGACACAGGUAGGAGGGUAGAGAAUACCAAGGCGCUUGAGAGAACUAUGUUGAAGGAACUCGGCAAAUUACACUUGUAACUUCGGGAUAAAAGUGACCUGCUAUUGGGCAACCAGUAGGAGGUGGCACAGAAGAGGGGGUAGCGACUGUUUACUAAAAACAUAGCACUAUGCAAAGUCGAAAGACGACGUAUAUGGUGUGACGCCUGCCCGGUGCCGGAAGGUUAAUAGGAGGGGUGCAAGCCCUGAAUUGAAGCCCCGGUGAACGGCGGCCGUAACUAUAACGGUCCUAAGGUAGCGAAAUUCCUUGUCGGGUAAGUUCCGACCUGCACGAAUGGCGUAACGAUUUCCCCACUGUCUCCAACAUAGACUCAGUGAAAUUGAAUUCUCGGUUAAGAUGCCGAGUAACCGUGGUUAGACGGAAAGACCCCGUGCACCUUUACUGCAGCUUUGUAUUGGUAUUAGGGAACAGAUGUGUAGCAUAGGUGGGAGACUUUGAAGGAGUGGCGCUAGCCAUUCUGGAGUCACUAGUGAAAUACCACUCUUCUGUUCCUUGAUGCCUAACCAUACACCGUUAUCCGGUGUUGGGACCAUGCAUGGUGGGCAGUUUGACUGGGGCGGUCGCCUCCCAAAGAGUAACGGAGGCGCGCGAUGGUAGGCUCAGAACGCUUGGAAACCGUUCGUCGAGUGCAAUGGCAUAAGCCUGCCUGACUGCGAGACCCACAAGUCGAGCAGAGACGAAAGUCGGUCAUAGUGAUCCGGUGGCACUUCGUGGAAGGGCCAUCGCUCAACGGAUAAAAGGUACGCCGGGGAUAACA